AUCCAGCUGACGAGUCCCAAAUAGGACGAAAUGCAAGUCAUGGAU
Schistosoma mattheei is the source of this 45-nucleotide non-coding RNA. Lineage: Eukaryota; Metazoa; Platyhelminthes; Trematoda; Strigeidida; Schistosomatidae. The record is from Rfam.